This 86-nucleotide transfer RNA is filed under the name Terriglobia bacterium. RNAcentral describes it as "tRNA-Leu". It matches the Rfam family "tRNA". Rfam says of the family: Transfer RNA (tRNA) molecules are approximately 80 nucleotides in length. Their secondary structure includes four short double-helical elements and three loops (D, anti-codon, and T loops). Further hydrogen bonds mediate the characteristic L-shaped molecular structure. tRNAs have two regions of fundamental functional importance: the anti-codon, which is responsible for specific mRNA codon recognition, and the 3' end, to which the tRNAs corresponding amino acid is attached (by aminoacyl-tRNA synthetases). tRNAs cope with the degeneracy of the genetic code in two manners: having more than one tRNA (with a specific anti-codon) for a particular amino acid; and 'wobble' base-pairing, i.e. permitting non-standard base-pairing at the 3rd anti-codon position. Lineage: Bacteria; Pseudomonadati; Acidobacteriota; Terriglobia. The record is from RNAcentral.
GCCGGAGUGGCGGAAUGGCAGACGCGGCGGACUCAAAAUCCGCUGGCCGCAAGGCUGUGUGGGUUCGACUCCCUCCUCCGGUACCA